UAAUAAUAAUAAUAAUAAUAAUGGAACAUUUCCAAAAUUGCUAGAGAUUUCUCUUCAACUUUUAACUUGAAGAAGCCGAUUCCUUCAUGAUUAACCACCAAUUAAAUACUGCGAUUCUCUCUUGCCCUUCACAAUUUCCUUUGCACAACCUUCCUGUUUGUUUUGUUUCUUCACAACAAGAAUGAGAAAAACCAGGCAACAACAAAUUGAAACUUGAUGUCUUUGUUUUAGCAAUUACAGCAGUCCCAUUCUGAUUAAAAUUAACUAUAAAUAAAAAAAUGAUAGAAAUUAAAUCAUAUAUGUCAUGA
RNAcentral lists this unclassified non-coding RNA (308 nucleotides) under Hevea brasiliensis (rubber tree). The record is from RNAcentral. Lineage: Eukaryota; Viridiplantae; Streptophyta; Magnoliopsida; Malpighiales; Euphorbiaceae.